UCUCGGCCCCAAACUAAAGGAGAAAAAAGCCCCACUCAGCCACCCGAGACCCAUCGUCCCCAGCCACACGACCACACGACCCCCCUCCACCCCGCCGCCGCGACGACCUCCCCCAGCGCGCCGGCGGUCGGACCCUCCCCUUGCGCGCCGUCGCCUGACCCCUCCCCCAGCGCGUCCCCGCCCGAACCCUCCCCCAGCACACCGCCGCCUUCCCCAUCUACCCAGCGCGCCGCCGCCAGCCCCCUCCCCCAGCUUGCCACGGUCGGCCCUCCCCCAGCGCGCCGCCGAGCGCCUCAUCUACUACCGCCAUCGCCUCACCUUCUCCUCCGCGGAUAAGUUCAUCGAUGAGCGAGGACUCCAGAUCGAGCCGGCCGACACCAACCUGCUGGCGUGCCACCCCCGCCCAAGCCAUCUCCUCCACCACGGCGCCCCGCUGCCGAUUCUAACCAUGGGCACGCACAAGAGCCACCUCCGGUACUUGGUGCAGACUUGGUAGCGGUGAUAUUUUGGUCUAAUUAUAUAUCAACAACAGUGCAAUGACAGAAAAAAACAUUAGUUCAAAAUAUAUAUGCAAGAUGUUUGGGAGCUCCAUGCCGUCACCCGCCGGCGCACCUCUGCCUCUCUGUGGGCAGUGGAUCCUCCGCCACAGGUCAACCUCAUGGCAGCGGGCAGUUCGACGCUCCCUGUCGUGCUAUGUUCAACGCUCCCUCGAGCUCCACUAGAACUACUUUCCGGCUGCGUCUGCACCUCUGAAAAGGUUAAACCAUUGAAAGCGAGCACACAAAGCUGCAGAGGCAACAACUCCAAAGGAACCAGUACGGUGAUGUGUUUACAGUAUUCCUAAAAUAAAUGUAGUAAUGCUGUGAUUAAUACUAACAUUGAUGGAUCAGUCGUUUGUAUUGAAAAAAUCGUCAUACUCCGUUAAGCCAGGUUCUAUUCGUUUUGAUUUUUA
Long non-coding RNA from Triticum aestivum (bread wheat), 952 nucleotides. RefSeq lists it as uncharacterized. The record is from RefSeq and is a predicted model, not a curated record. NCBI's taxonomy places the organism in Eukaryota, Viridiplantae, Streptophyta, Magnoliopsida, Poales, Poaceae. The transcript has 3 exons.